AUUGAACGCUGGCGGCAUGCUUUACACAUGCAAGUCGAACGGUAACAGGCCUUCGGGUGCUGACGAGUGGCGAACGGGUGAGUAAUGCAUCGGAACGUACCCAGAGGUUGGGGAUAACGCAGCGAAAGCUGUGCUAAUACCGCAUGUGAUCUGAGGAUGAAAGCGGGGGACCGAGCAGCAAUGUUUGGCCUCUCGCCUUUGGAGCGGCCGAUGUCGGAUUAGCUAGUUGGUGGGGUAAAGGCCUACCAAGGCGACGAUCCGUAGCUGGUCUGAGAGGACGACCAGCGACACUGGGACUGAGACACGGCCCAGACUCCUACGGGAGGCAGCAGUGGGGAAUUUUGGACAAUGGGCGCAAGCCUGAUCCAGCAAUGCCGCGUGCGGGAAGAAGGCCUUCGGGUUGUAAACCGCUUUUGGCAGGAACGAAACGGUGUCCGCUAAUACCGGGCGCUAAUGACGGUACCUGCAGAAUAAGCACCGGCUAACUACGUG
This 492-nucleotide ribosomal RNA is filed under the name uncultured bacterium. RNAcentral's name for it is "partial 16S ribosomal RNA". It matches the Rfam family "Bacterial small subunit ribosomal RNA", at positions 30 to 507 of the family's 1533-position model. The record is from RNAcentral.